AUUGAACGCUGGCGGCAGGCCUAACACAUGCAAGUCGAGCGGAUGAAGGGAGCUUGCUCCUGGAUUCAGCGGCGGACGGGUGAGUAAUGCCUAGGAAUCUGCCUGGCAGUGGGGGAUAACGUCCGGAAACGGGCGCUAAUACCGCAUACGUCCUGAGGGAGAAAGUGGGGGAUCUUCGGACCUCACGCUAUCAGAUGAGCCUAGGUCGGAGUAGCUAGAUGGUGGGGUAAAGGCCUACCAAGCCGACGAUCCGUAACUGGUCUGAGAGGAUGAUCAGUCACACUGGAACUGAGACACGGUCCAGACUCCUACGGGAGGCAGCAGUGGGGAAUGUUGGACAGUAGGCGAAAGCCUGGUCCAGCCAUGCCGCGUGUGUGAAGAAGGUCUUCGGAUUGUAAAGCACUUUUAGUUGGGAGGAAGGGCAGUAAGUUGAUACCUUGCUGUUUUGACGUUACCGACAGAAUAAGCACCGGCUAACUUCGUG
RNAcentral lists this ribosomal RNA (484 nucleotides) under uncultured bacterium. RNAcentral's name for it is "partial 16S ribosomal RNA". It matches the Rfam family "Bacterial small subunit ribosomal RNA", at positions 30 to 507 of the family's 1533-position model. The record is from RNAcentral.